RNAcentral lists this long non-coding RNA (3743 nucleotides) under Mus musculus (house mouse). RNAcentral's name for it is "long non-coding RNA chr12:40658108-40661851". Lineage: Eukaryota; Metazoa; Chordata; Mammalia; Rodentia; Muridae. The record is from RNAcentral.
GUUGGUUCAUUCGUUUUUUUGAGUUGUCUCACUAUGUAGUCCUAGUUAGCCUGGAACUUGGUAUGUACACCAGGCUGGCCUUGAACUUCUAGAGAUCUUCCUGCCUCUGCUUCCAGGGUACUGGAUUAUAGCCAAGUGCCACAACAAAAAAUUAAAAUAUGAACCCACAAAGAAAAAAACCUCAGAACAUUCUUUUGAGAAAAAAAAAAGAAAUAAAGAUUUAGUUAUUGAUACUAAGGGUGUAAAUUACAUAGAUUUUUUUUUUAAAUUAAUCAUUCUAUUUUCAUUUACAUCUUCUUUUUUCCCAAUUUUUAAUUAGGUAUUUUCUUCAUUUACAUUUCAAAUGCUAUCCUGAAAGUCCCCUAUACCCUCCCCCCACCCUGCUCCCCUACCCACCCACUCCCACUUCUUGGCCCUGGUGUUCCAGGCAUAUAAAGUUUGCAAUACCAAGGGGCCUCUCUUUCCAGUGAUGGCCGACUAGGCCAUCUUCUGCUACAUAUGCAGCUAGAGACACGAGCUCUGGGGGGGUACUGGUUAGUUCAUAUUGCUGUUCCUCCUAUAGGGUUGCAGAUCCCUUCAGCUCUUGGGUACUUUCUCUAGCUCCUCCACUGGGGGCCCUGUGUUCCAUCCAAUAGAUGACUGUGAGCAUCCACUUAUGUGUUUGCCAGGCACUGGCAUAGCCUCACAUGAGACAGCUAUAUCAGGGUCCUUUCAGCAAAAUUUUUCUGGCAUAUGCAAUAGUGUCUGUGUUUGGUGGCUGAUUAUGGGAUGGAUCCCUAGUGGGGUAGUCUCUGGAUGGUCCAUCCUUUCAUCUUAGCUCCAGACUUUGUCUCUGUAACUCCUUCCAUGGGUAUUUUGUUCUUUAUUCUAAGGAGCAAUGAAGUAUCCACAUGUUGGUCUUCCUUAUUCUUGAUUUUCUUGUGUUUUGCAAAUUAAAAUUCUCAACUGAGGAAUACCGAAAAUGUUCAACGUCCUUAAUCAUCAGAGAAAUGCAAAUCAAAACAACCCUGAGAUUCUACCUCACACCAGUCAGAAUGGCUAAGAUCAAAAAUCCAGGUGACAGCAGAUGCUGGGGAGGAUGUGGAGAAAGAGGAACACUCUUCCAUUGCUGGUGGGAUUGCAAGCUUGUACAACUACUCGGGAAAUCAGUCUGGCUGUUCCUCAGAAAAUUGGACAUAGUACUACCAGAAGAUCCAGCAAUACCUCUCCUGGGCAUAUAUCCAGAAGGUGUUCCAACUAGUAAUAAGGACACAUGCUCCACUAUGUUCAUAGCAGCCUUAUUUAUAAUAGCCAGAAGCUGGAAAGAACCCAGAUGUCCCUCAAUAGAGGAAUGGAUACAGAAAAUGUGGUACAUUUACACAGGAGUACUACUCAGCUAUUAAAAACAAUGAAUUUAUGAAAUUCUUGGGAAAAUGGAUGGAUCUGGAGGAUAUCAUCCUGAGUGAGGUAACCCAAUCACAAAAAAAGUCACUUGAUACACACUCACUGAUAAGUGGAUAUUAGCCCAGGAACCUAGAAUACCCAAGAAACAACUUGCGUUAACAUCUUCUUAACCUUUAUUUUUCGUUUGUUUUAAAAUGCCUACUUCACCCCAAAGUCUAUAGAGAGCUUUGGUUUACUUGUGUUUCCCAAUCCUUAUUAAAAAUGGUCUCCUCACAAAGAAAUAGUAUUUCACAAAGUCAAAAUAACUUCCAUGUGUAGAUCGGACUGAUCUCUUCCUCGCAGAGUGUCCAGGAUACAGUGUUGGCAGUGAUCCAAUUCUGUGAACUCCAAGAACAAUUAGCUUACGACACUCCUCCCUCAUGCACAUCACCCUGCUUCCUGACCCUGCUCUUGUUGGUCCUGCUCCUACCCAUGGCUACUUCUGCAUCCUCCGAGACUUCUGCAUCCUCUGCUCAGAAGAAGCUUGUUUUCCUAUCCAUCUUCUAACACGUUCUCUGGAGAAAGACUAAAGCGUGUGCUCUCCUCCCUCACCACAUUCAUUCUUAGUCAGAAUUCUAUAUAGGUCUGGUGAUGGCAUUUCUAUACAGGCAAGGUUAUACUUUUUAAAAGUCAUCUUACCCUACAACACCGUCAUUACCUCCCCAUCCCCUGUCUGUUUCUUGCUGGCCCCACGUGUCUCCUCAAGUCGUACCCUCUGCUGCUUCCAUUUCACACAGAUUCCAUAUUGUCCUUCCCUCUUCUCUUAGUUUAUAGAUUUUUGUUUCCUGAAUUACAUAGAGAGAGGCAUGCACAUACUUGGACACAUUUCUGUCCCCUGUUGCAUUUUAUUUCUGCAAAUGAGAUAAACAUGUGGUAUUCAUCUCUGAGUCUCUGUUACUUUAUUAAUGUAGCAAUCUACCAAUUCAUCUGUUUGUGCACAUGGAGACUGGUUCUGUGUGUUUACUAUUGUGAGAGUACAGGAAUAAACAUGGAUGUGCAAUUUUCUCUAACUUAAAGUCUGGUAGUGGUAUGGCUAGAUCAUGGUAGUUAACAUUUUUAAUGUUUUGAAAACCUUGAUACUGAUUCCCACAGUGGCUUUAUCCCUUUACAUUGUCCCCACCAGUGUAUCUGCGUUCUUCUUUCCCUGCAUCCUUGCUAACACUGGUUGUCAUUUCUUCCUUGGUGGGCUCUUCUGACUGGUAUGAGAUAGAAUCAUAAAGCAAUUUUAGUAUACUUCGCCAAUGGCGAAAGGUGUUGAAGAAAAUUAAAUUUGAGAAAAUCUCUGUUCAGUUUGUUAGCCCACAUAUUAUUGUGUAAUUUAGGGGUAUAUAGCUCAUUCUGUACUCUAGAUCUCAGUCCCCUGUUAGAUGUAUUGUUGACAAAGACUUUUUUUUCUAUUGUAUAGGGCAUCUCUUUAGUCUGGUGAUUGCUUCUUUGCACUACUUAAAUCUCACAAAAUACCACUUGACAAUUCUGGUGUUGUUAUGAUGUUGAAAUCCUUUUCAGAGUAUCCAUGAUACAUACUUCCUAGGUCAUUUAAUUAUAUAGCAUUUAUCUUUCUAAGAAUUUACCCAAGUAGGAAAUUGGGGAUUUUGUAAUUAGAGUCAUUGCUAUAUAUAAAGCAGCCACAACAACUACCACCACCACCACCACCACCACCACCAUCAUCAUCAUCACCACCAUCAUUAUUUGUAACUGUUUCUUUAGGGUGGAUUUUCUGCAGGUGCUGUGAAAUGGUAGACAUGUGAUUGCUUAUUUAUCCCUUUAAGAGGGUUGUAUUUCUCUUAUCAUAAAAAAUUGUUGUCUUAGGAAGUUUUGUUUCAUUUUUUAUUAUGCAAAGACAAUAGCAUAAGGUAGUUUCAGAUUGUGCUAAGAGGUAAAAAUUGACUGAUUUUGAUAGUCAACAUUUGUAGUGAUCUUAGCUAUACUGUAAAAAUGUAUCUUCUGAUGUGACUUUCAGCUCAAUCCUUGACCUGACAAAGCUAUCAGACGGUUUGGUCAGUCUCUUCAUAGACAUUUAUACAGAAUCUAGCCUUGGAUAUUAACAACAACAACAAAAAAAGCCUGUUGCUUUCUUAGGUAAGUGACUUGCUUGGCAUAGUCCAUCUCCAUAGGCUUCCUUUUUCCAUUUCUUUUUACUCAAAGGAUCACAUGAUUGUAAUGCUACUUUAGUCUUAAAAUAAGUACACUAAUGAUCUUAUCUAGUAAGACUUUCAAAGAAAUGGUCUGACAUUAGUGUUGGUCUUGUGGUUGAAGAAGAAAAGAAGAAAGUCUUUGUCCAUGAGAUAGCUUUGUUGCCUGCUUGGGCACAUUUAAGACAG